Molecule: ribosomal RNA, 476 nt
Filed under: uncultured bacterium
Lineage: Bacteria
Description: partial 16S ribosomal RNA
Rfam family: Bacterial small subunit ribosomal RNA
Source: RNAcentral
GACGAACGCUGGCGGCGUGCUUAACACAUGCAAGUCGAACGUGAUUUUUGUGGAAAUUCUUUCGGGAAUGGAAAUGAAAUGAAAGUGGCGAACGGGUGAGUAACACGUGAGCAACCUACCUUACACAGGGGGAUAGCCGUUGGAAACGACGAUUAAUACCGCAUGAGACCACAGAAUCGCAUGAUAUAGGGGUCAAAGAUUUAUCGGUGUAAGAAGGGCUCGCGUCUGAUUAGCUAGUUGGAAGGGUAAAGGCCUACCAAGGCGACGAUCAGUAGCCGGUCUGAGAGGAUGAACGGCCACAUUGGAACUGAGACACGGUCCAAACUCCUACGGGAGGCAGCAGUGGGGAAUAUUGCACAAUGGGGGGAACCCUGAUGCAGCGACGCCGCGUGAGCGAAGAAGGUUUGCGAAUCGUAAAGCUCUGUCCUAUGAGAAGAUAAUGACGGUAUCAUAGGAGGAAGCCCCGGCUAAAUACG